RNAcentral lists this long non-coding RNA (236 nucleotides) under Jatropha curcas. Its description in RNAcentral is "long non-coding RNA (JCUR_LNC001613)". Lineage: Eukaryota; Viridiplantae; Streptophyta; Magnoliopsida; Malpighiales; Euphorbiaceae. The record is from RNAcentral.
AAUUAAUGGAGUUGGAUUUUAUGUUAGUCAAAUUUUUGUGACUGCUGGUAAACCCAUUUCUGUGUAUUUUUAAUUUCAUGUAUUUAUUACUAUUAUUUUUUAGUUUUUAUCUUUGUUGUUGACCAAUAAUUUUGUUAUGAAAUCUGCAGGACUUUCUUCUGGGACACUUGGAACCAUUGCUUAUGCUUGUAUUCAGGUAUUUGACAUUGGCUUGUUUCCAAAAGAAAAGUAAAAGC